RNAcentral lists this ribosomal RNA (497 nucleotides) under uncultured bacterium. RNAcentral's name for it is "partial 16S ribosomal RNA". It matches the Rfam family "Bacterial small subunit ribosomal RNA", at positions 28 to 507 of the family's 1533-position model. The record is from RNAcentral.
GAUGAACGCUGGCGGCGUGCCUAAUACAUGCAAGUCGAGCGAACGGACGAGAAGCUUGCUUCUCUGAUGUUAGCGGCGGACGGGUGAGUAACACGUGGAUAACCUACCUAUAAGACUGGGAUAACUUCGGGAAACCGGAGCUAAUACCGGAUAAUAUUUUGAACCGCAUGGUUCAAAAGUGAAAGACGGUCUUGCUGUCACUUAUAGAUGGAUCCGCGCUGCAUUAGCUAGUUGGUAAGGUAACGGCUUACCAAGGCAACGAUGCAUAGCCGACCUGAGAGGAUGAUCGGCCACACUGGAACUGAGACACGGUCCAGACUCCUACGGGAGGCAGCAGUAGGGAAUCUUCCGCAAUGGGCGAAAGCCUGACGGAGCAACGCCGCGUGAGUGAUGAAGGUCUUCGGAUCGUAAAACUCUGUUAUUAGGGAAGAACAUAUGUGUAAGUAACUCUGCACAUCUUGACGGUACCUAAUCAGAAAGCAACGGCUAACUACGUG